RNAcentral lists this ribosomal RNA (427 nucleotides) under uncultured bacterium. RNAcentral's name for it is "bacterial SSU rRNA". It matches the Rfam family "Bacterial small subunit ribosomal RNA", at positions 355 to 796 of the family's 1533-position model. The record is from RNAcentral.
UGGGGAAUUUUGUGCAAUGGGGGAAACCCUGACACAGCGACACCGCGUGAGCGAAGAAGCCCUUUGGGGUGUAAAGCUCUGUCAACGGGAACGAAAAAAAUGACGGUACCCGUGGAGGAAGCAUCGGCUAACUACGUGCCAGCAGCCGCGGUAAGACGUAGGAUGCAAGCGUUGUCCGGAUUUAUUGGGCGUAAAGAGUUCGUAGGCUGUUUGUUAAGUCUGAUGUUAAAGACUGGGGCUCAACCUCGGAAAUGCAUUGGAUACUGGCAGACUGGAGUGCAGUAGAGGCUAGUGGAAUUCCCAGUGUAGCGGUGAAAUGCGUAGAUAUUGGGAAGAACACCGGUGGCGUAGGCGACUAGCUGGGCUGUAACUGACGCUGAGGAACGAAAGCCAGGGGAGCGAAUGGGAUUAGAUACCCCCGUAGUCC